UACGUAGGUGGCAAGCGUUGUCCGGAAUUAUUGGGCGUAAAGCGCGCGCAGGCGGUCUUUUAAGUCUGAUGUGAAAGCCCACGGCUCAACCGUGGAGGGUCAUUGGAAACUGGGGGACUUGAGUACAGAAGAGAAGAGUGGAAUUCCACGUGUAGCGGUGAAAUGCGCAGAUAUCGAGAGGAACACCUGCGGCGAAGGCGGGUUGCUGGGCUGAUACUGACGCUGAGGCGCGAAAGCCAGGGGAGCGAACGGG
This 253-nucleotide ribosomal RNA is filed under the name uncultured bacterium. RNAcentral describes it as "partial 16S ribosomal RNA". It matches the Rfam family "Bacterial small subunit ribosomal RNA", at positions 524 to 776 of the family's 1533-position model. The record is from RNAcentral.